GUAACACGUGUGCAACCAACCCCGUACCGGGAGAUAACCCGCGGAAACGUGGACUAACAUCCCAUGAGACUCGAGAGCCGCAUGGCUCUAGAUUUAAAAUUCCGGUGGUACGGGACGGGCACGCGCGACAUUAGGUAGUUGGCGGGGUAACGGCCCACCAAGCCGACGAUGUCUAGGGGUUCUGAGAGGAAGGUCCCCCACACUGGAACUGAGACACGGUCCAGACUCCUACGGGAGGCAGCAGUGAGGAAUAUUGGUCAAUGGGCGAGAGCCUGAACCAGCCAAGUCGCGUGAGGGAAGAAUGGUCUAUGGCCUGUAAACCUCUUUUGUCAGGGAAGAAUAAGGAUGACGAGUCAUUCGAUGCCAGUACUUGACGAAUAAGCAUUGGCUAACUCCGUGCCAGCAGCCGCGGUAAUACGGGGGAUGCGAGCGUUAUCCGGAUUUAUUGGGUUUAAAGGGCGCGUAGGCGGGACGGCAAGUCAGCGGUAAAAGACUGCAGCUAAACUGUAGCACGCCGUUGAAACUGUUGACCUCGAGACGAGACGAGGGAGGCGGAACAAGUGAAGUAGCGGUGAAAUGCAUAGAUAUCACUUGGAACCCCGAUAGCGAAGGCAGCUUCCCAGGCUCGUUCUGACGCUGAUGCGCGAGAGCGUGGGUAGCGAACAGGAUUAGAUACCCUGGUAGUCCACGCCGUAAACGAUGCUCACUGGAUCUUGGCGAUACACUGCCAGGGUUCAAGCGAAAGUAUUAAGUGAGCCACCUGGGGAGUACGUCGGCAACGAUGAAACUCAAAGGAAUUGACGGGGGCCCGCACAAGCGGAGGAACAUGUGGUUUAAUUCGAUGAUACGCGAGGAACCUUACCCGGGUUUAAAUGUAGAUUGCAUGAGGUGGAAACGCUUCUUCCCUUCGGGGCUAUUUACAAGGUGCUGCAUGGUUGUCGUCAGCUCGUGCCGUGAGGUGUCGGGUUAAGUCCCAUAACGAGCGCAACCCCUAUCGCCAGUUGCCAUCGGUUGAAGCCGGGCACUCUGUCGAGACUGCCACCGUAAGGUGCGAGGAAGGCGGGGAUGACGUCAAAUCAGCACGGCCCUUACACCCGGGGCGACACACGUGUUACAAUGGCCGGUACAGAGGGCAGCCACGGGGUGACCCGGAGCGAAUCUCUAAAGCCGGUCGUAGUUCGGACUGGAGUCUGCAACCCGACUCCACGAAGUUGGAUUCGCUAGUAAUCGCGCAUCAGC
RNAcentral lists this ribosomal RNA (1239 nucleotides) under metagenome. Its description in RNAcentral is "bacterial SSU rRNA". It matches the Rfam family "Bacterial small subunit ribosomal RNA", at positions 110 to 1353 of the family's 1533-position model. The record is from RNAcentral.